This 366-nucleotide long non-coding RNA is filed under the name Equus caballus (horse). Its description in RNAcentral is "lncRNA (ENSECAG00000044088.1)". Lineage: Eukaryota; Metazoa; Chordata; Mammalia; Perissodactyla; Equidae. The record is from RNAcentral.
AAACAAAAGCAGGUCACGUAGAAGAUCAUCUUAGUAACACCUUCUACUUUCCUUACUGAUGUGGUAUGAUUAUUGGAAGUGAAAACCUGUCCCUGUACCCUACAUUAUUGCUACCACCUGGCACAACUACCCACGCAUCCUGGGAGGCUGCUGAUUUUGAAGCUAAGAAUAUAAAAAUAUAUGAAAUUCAUGGAUCCAAAGUCCAUCUCUUUCAACUAAAGGUACUUUGGAGACAAAAGUAAUUCAGGAAACCAACAUGAGGGGAGUGGUCUGCGAGAGGAUAGGAUCGGUGAAGAUAAAGUGGUAUUAAUUACAGCCAGUCACAGACUCCAGUUGCCCCAUCGACUUCUAGCUAAGACUCCUUGC